AUGAUCCAGCCAACUGAUAUUGAUCAUGAUGGUACUGUGAAAUAUUGUCGAGUCCAUGAUAUGGUGCUUGACCUUAUCAUAUCUUUAUCAGAUGAAGAGAAUUUUGCCACUGUUUUAAAUGGACGUGUAUGCAAUUCUUUUCCAAGCAAGAUUCGACGUCUCUCCAUGCAAUUAAGUGGCAAAGAGCAUAAUGGCACAAACCGUGCGAUUACAGAAACCAAGCUACAUCUUCGCUCACUGACUACCUUUUGGCAAGUUCAGCAGGUACCCCCCCUUGUCCUUGUGGACUUCCAUGCUUUGCGGGUGUUGGAUCUUGAGGGAUUUUAUUAUUUGGAAAACAAGCAUGUAAAACAUAUAGGAAGCUCGCGUCAGCUGAGAUAUUUGAGAAUUCGCAGUGGGAAAAUUACUGAGCUUCCUGCUGAAAUCGGAAAGCUGCAGCACUUACAAACUCUCGAUUUGAGAGGCUGUUAUUAUCUUGAAAGACUGCCAUCAACUGUGGUGCAGUUGCAGACAUUGGUGCGCCUAUUUGUCAGCGGUUACACACAAUUACCUGCAAGUGGGUUCCGGAGUCUGCAAGCCUUGGGGGAGUUACGAUUCAGUGAAACUGACGACCCAGUGAGAUUUGCGGAGGAAGUAAAUGAGUUGGGCAAAUGCAACCUUCGCUAUCUUCGUACUGGAGAGAUAGCCGAGCGUCUGUUCUGUAACCCGUGCUGCACCUACCCUUGCCUCCAAGUUCUUAAAAUUAAGUCAGAUAUUGUAAUGGAAAUGGUUCCCAGGAGCAUGGCCUCCCUUCAAAAUCUCAUGAGACUAUGGAUAGAGGUCAGGGAAUUUGAGGAGGAGGGUCUCCAAGUCCUGAUGGGCAUGCCUUCUCUGGCCCAUCUUCAGCUAAACAUACAAACUGAGAUGAAAGAAAAGCUGGCCGUGGGUAGUAAUGGAUUCAAACUCCUAAAGGUCUUUCGCUUCAAAUAUAGGUCAAACCCUUCUGCUUUUAAAUUUGAACGAACAUCAAGUGGUGGACUGGACAUCUCAGAAAAUAAACCAGAUGGACUGGGGCUAACAUUUGUUCCAGGUGCUGUGCCAGCACUCCGAUGGCUCUGUCUUAAAUUGAGCCCCAUGACGGUGGCGUCAGAUUUUUUUGUAGACUUGGGUGUCGAGCAUCUUCCAGGCCUUGUAGACCUCAAGGUCGAAAUCAAUUGUAACAGAGCAGCUCCAGGCCGGGUGGAAGCCGUGGAGUCUUCCGUUGAAAAAGCAAUCAACCUGCACCCCAACUGUGAAAUCCAUGUCCACAGAGUCUCUGAAUAUCUCAUGUUUAAGGAUGAAAAGGACUGGGAAGAGGCCGUCUUGAAGGAAAGAAAGGAGAUGUAG
This 1365-nucleotide ribosomal RNA is filed under the name Triticum aestivum (bread wheat). Its description in RNAcentral is "partial small subunit ribosomal RNA". The record is from RNAcentral. Lineage: Eukaryota; Viridiplantae; Streptophyta; Magnoliopsida; Poales; Poaceae.